ACGGCGAUUUUCUGAUUGAAAGCUUUGCGGGCCUUACUGGGGUGUGGGCGUGGCCUGGCGGCUGCGUCGCGCUGUCUGUCUGAGCAGCGAGUGAAAGGGUGGAAGAUGGCGGCGUGAAGAGGUGGAGAGGCGAAGAGGCCCUGCUGGGCCCGGGAAUCCCGGGACAUGAACACGGCAGGUACGCCACAGUUGACUGGAAGCCGUUCUACCCUCCCUGCACAAGGAGAAGAGCAGCACGAUACAAUGUCUACAUGGAUGAUCCCAGAGCUCCCGCAAGCUUCUGGCCCCGACGUUGAUUGAUCCUGCAGAUGUUCGCUGCAGCGUUUUGAAGGUCAGGGGAAGAUCAGAUGACUCCGGGGCCCCGCACAAUACUCUGGCCUAUCCGGCAGCACAUUAACUAGCGAUGGUGACGGUGCCUCCCCUGCAUUUGCUGAUAGCAGAGACUUUCCAGCCUAUGAACAAUGAGCGCUGUAGUCUAUUAGACAGUAAUGUAGCUGCUCCGCUCACAGGUACCUGCUCAUUAAAUGAACUGAAGGCAGCUAUGAAGCCCUUCCUUAGUGGAAAUGGAACGUGGCCCCUUGUCUCAUUUGACAGGCUAAAAUGAGGUCUUGAAACUGAAAGCCAAGUAUCAUGUACCAAAUAUUACAGAUUGUGCAGCUUUACCACUGAAUGCACAAUUAUGUCAUGCCAAUUACAAUCCAUUUUUUUUGUUUUGAAAAGUCCAUUUUGCUUUUAUCGUUGAGGAACGACAAUAUGAAUAUGAAUCUAAAGUCUUAUUCAUUUGCAGUGUCCUUUCUAGAUUCCUACACGUCGCCCCUUUUAAUAGAAGCAGAUAUAAUAGGAAAGAAAACCUCCUUGAUGUAUAUAAUAAUGCUAUUUUACCAUGAAAAGGAACUGUGAGAAAAAUGGAGUUUUUACUUCAGUCAGCUUCAGGGUUGGGCCACAAGAUCUUCCAUUUCCCAUUUUCACUCAACUUCGCAUUUCAUGAAGCAUUUUUUUUCCUCCGUUUCCAGUCCUUUUCUAACCAUGGGAUUUGGACCAUACGGACUUGCAAUGUUUCCACUUUUUUAUGAAGGUAAUGUAUUCAGGACAUCGCAGUUGUGUGCUAUUCUACAUCAGAGACCUCAGAUCAAAAGAAAAAACUCCCGUUGUUUACAGAUGCACUUAAUUUCAUGCACAACUUUAUCUUUCAUGAAGAUGGCUGGAGAAAUCUACUGGUCCUUGCAGCGUCAACUUUCGUGACUGUUUGGAAACUUCUACAAAAACAAAUGAGUUCCUGAGGGAAAUUAGACAGCUUAUGUCAAAAUAUGUCCCCUACAAAAAAAAAUAUAUAUUUCUGCUCGUCACUGAAAGAUUAAUAUUUUAAGAGAAGUUUUUUCUUUCAACAACUUUUUGAUUUCAUCCUUUGAAUUCUUUCUUCAGAUUCAUCUUUGCAUAUUAGGUAUGUAUUAAAUGGGAGCCGAGAGUCUGAGCUUUUUUUUUUUACAAUUAUUAUUAUAAAUAGAUAUACAGAAUAUGGGUUUUGGUGCAUGUAUUUGUAAGGAUCAUUUUUAGUCAGGUGGUUGGGUUAUUUUAGUAUUAUGAAGAGAUUAUAACAGGCUCUUUUUAUAGUUUAUUGAAAAACUUCGAUUUGAUUCCCUCGGGGAGAGAACAAGGGAAUUGUGUAAAUGCAGUAGUUUUUGCAAUUUUUGUUGGGUAAUGUGGAGUUUUAGCAUUAUGUGGUGGAGAAGCAAUUUUUCAGUUGUAUAUCAGCCAACCUUCUUGAAAUCAUGGGUGCUUUGUGACUAGAAGUAUCCCUAUAGUGUGCCACAAUGUUCCAAAGUGGAUAUUUGCAUCAAUUGUAUUCUGAGGGGUUAAUCCUAGAAAAUACAGUUCUACAACUUUUAGGCCAAAUUGACUCUUCAAGAGGUAUAAAAGUGAAAGGCUCAAACUAAAUUAUAUUAUUUAUAAUGGACAAAAUUCAUACUGCUGUCCAUUUGAAAAUUAAGUUGGGAACUUUGCUUAUAGGGGAUUAAUUGCAUCAAUCAUAGCACUGCUUUGCUACGGCAGGUACAUUUUAAGGGGCGUUGAGUUCUUUAUUACCCCUUCUCAUAACUGCUGAAGAACAAUUUGGAAUGGGUGAACCUGUGUUUGAAAAUCACAGUAAUAUUUUAUUUUGUACUUACUUUUUUUCUGGAACCAAAACCAGGUAUUUACCCAAACUCCAAAGGUAAUCGGUUGUAUUCAUCACAGAGCUAUUUCUCCACAUUGCCUUGAAUCCUCUCUUGUAGAGGCUUUUUUUUUUUUAUUUUCAUUACUGGGGAUGUGCAAUAUUGCCGUACAUAUGUAUAUUUUACUACUUGUGAACAAAAUGUUACAAGUUGUCUGAGAACAACAAAAUCACCAAUGUCUUCCAUUUUGAGAUGUGUAUAGUUCCAUAAAAAGCAUUAGUGCUAUGUAGCAAAUUGUAGUGCCACUUUAGGAUCUGUGCAUGAGAUUAACGUUUUUUUUUUGUAACUGUUUUUUGAGUAAAAACAAUUUAUUGCUACCAAAUUUAAAGAAAAAAAAAGGUGCAGUGUUCCUUAUUAGUCCAGAAGAAGCUCUGCCAGCAGCCGCUGAUUUCUCUUGCUGCAUUUAUAGUCUUUAAAUAAUAGGCACUUGCUUUGUAUAUAGGGUAUAUCUGAUAUAGCAGAUAUUAGGGACAUUUUAAAAUAAAGGUAUUGAAAUAUAUAUAUAUUUUUAAAACAUUGAAUCAGAAAAACAGCUGCAUGAAAUCAAAUGGGGAAUUGCCGGGAAACUGUAAGAAUUCUUACAGAGUAUUGACACAAGUACAUAUUCAAGCAUGGAUUGCAUAGGCUGUAGUAAUACAUGGUAUUGCUAGAAAGACGAUCUGAGGUUGAGUUAAAAUACAGUGGUUGGCAGGAUCAUAUCUGCCAUGUAGGUACUGUGGGUCCAUGUUUAGGGGGGUAGCCCCUAGGUGCCUAUAUGGUAAAUAAAACUAUUUGGAAGGCAGAGCUGGGGGAACCUUCUUUCCCAGUGAUAAGCACAGGACAGACAGGCUGCCUGCGUAUGUGCUAACCGCUGGUGAAGGGGGACAGGCUAAGGUUUAGUGCCUAAGGCAGCACCGGACCUAAAAACAGCCUGUUUGAUGUGUUAUGCUUUUGUAAGCUGUGCUUUUAAUGAAACCACUAGAUUUUAGAAAUGAUUGUGAAUACUGGACUAAGAAAAAAAAAUCCACUAGCCUUUUUCCUUUCAAAUAGAACCCCUAAUAUCAUCUCAUUGACUUUGUGUUGAUAUUGUGGGGUGGAUACACUGCACCUUUUUAUUAAGGACCUAUUUGUAAAUGUGCCCCGGCGAAGGGGUUCUUCUAGGCAAAUGCAUGCUCUUCUUUUAAUGUUAAGUAUUUCUAUAUAUUAGGAAGUAAGAGAAUGUAUAAAUGGUGAACAAGUAGUAUUGGAGGUUUUUUUAGGAGCCUCUUCCAUGUAUGCAUGGUGUCACAGAACAAAGACUUCAACCAAGGAAGCAAUAAGAGCUCAGCUUUAUGGUAGCAUUCAUUUCAACUAGAUUAGGUGCAACAUUAAGGAGAAACCUGAAAUACCUCUGUGACUGGAAUCCAGAAAGCACAGUAUGUUGUUCUUGAUGCAAACAAAGCCAUACCUUGUUAUACCUUCAGUAGCAAUAAGAAUUUUGCAUGAUUUAGUCGCUUACCUUUGUACAGUAGAACGCUGGUUGUAAUUAUCCGCAUGUUACCAGGGGCUGGGGUUAUUUACGUUCAGAGUUGGCAUUUUUAUUGCUCUUGUGAAAUUGGAUUUUUGAGAUGGAUUUUCAUGGAAUCACCAUAAAUCUCUUUAGCACCUAUGUAGCAAGGUUGCACAAUAUCCUUAUAUUUCAGCUCGAUAUUGAAGUCUUUUUAUGGAUAUUACUGAAGGACUGAGCAUUGUUCUUGCAGGCUAUUUCAGACUGUGUCAAUUCUGAUAGGGAUAUACAUUUUUAUUUGUAAAAUUGUGUACUCAGACAGUUCACCUACUUCUAUAACCUUGUUACAGAUACUUUUUAUGUUGGCUCCUUGUCAGUGUGUUAAAUGUUUUAAGAGAAAACGUACCCUUUAAAGAGCAAUAGCGUGCUUGCAUGUAUAAAUACAAACACACAGAAUGUUCUGUGAGUAUAACAAGCUGUGUUUAUACUGUAUUGUCAUGCGGAAAAACACGGAACAUAAGCACUACCUAAAACAAGGGUUUGCUGCAAACUGGUGAAAAAAAAUCUGUUGCACAGAUAUAAAUGCCCAUUGAUGGGACAGAUUCUUUCAUCAUUU
Xenopus tropicalis (tropical clawed frog) is the source of this 4291-nucleotide long non-coding RNA. RefSeq lists it as uncharacterized. The record is from RefSeq and is a predicted model, not a curated record. The transcript is spliced from 4 exons. NCBI's taxonomy places the organism in Eukaryota, Metazoa, Chordata, Amphibia, Anura, Pipidae.